GUGGUGAUACUAUUUGGAUGUGUGUUUUUGUUUUCAUCAGGUUUGAUUCUAACCUUUUACUUAAGAAGGAAAGCAGCCACACCUCAUAAUGACCAGAGACAUGGAGACAUAUUCAAGAUAUGGAACUUCGAUGGAAACAUCGCCCAUCAACACAUCAUCCAAGCAACAGCAGACUUCGAUUUCAGGUACUGCAUUGGAACUGGAGCUUACGGGAGCGUCUACAGAGCUCAACUGCCAACUGGAAAAGUCGUUGCUGUCAAAAAGCUUCACAGAUUCGAAGGAGAGAAUCCUAGUUACGACAUGUGCUUCAGGAAUGAAGCAAGGGUUCUCUCUGAGAUACGCCAUCGCCAUAUUGUCAAGCUUUUCGGUUAUUGCCUGCACAAGCGUAAUUGCAAAAACAUUUCUUUAACUUAAAAAGAGUAAUUUAUUGGUAAUAGCAAUACAUGUGUACACAACGACAUUAACACACAACACAUUCGACAAGCAAGACAUCGUUUUCUCAUUACCUUAGUCACAACAAUGAGGAUCACCCCCAUCUACGGCUCGACGACGAUCUUUCCGGUAGCAUGGCCGUCGAUGCUCUUCGCCCAGGCGGCUGCGGCUUCGCUCAACGGGUACUUGCAGUCGAUCACCGUCUUCAGCUUCCCCUGCUUCAUCAGCUCAGCGAGGAACUGCACAUUCUCCGCCUUGACAGAGUUGACGAACGGCACCAGUUGCUUCUUGGAGAACGUGAGCUUCUUCACGGCGAAAGUCCACAUGUGGCUCACCCCCGGCGUGAGCUCGAUCACCUUCCCGCUGGGGCUCAGGUUCGGCUCGAACACCGACCACGGGAAGGACGACGCGCACUGGAUCACCGCGUCGUACUUCUUGCCCGACGGGCUCUUGAGGGCCGCGCCCUCCGGGGUCUUGUAGUCGAGCACCUCGUCUGCCCCGAGGCUCCUCACGAGGUCGAUGUUGCGGGCCCCGCAAGUGGCGGUGACGUGCGCGUUCCCCAGCUUCGCGAGCUGGACGGCGAAGUGGCCGACACCGCCAGAGGCGGCGGUGACGAGGAUGUUCUUCUGGGGGCCGCUGCCGUCGAACUUGAGCCCAGCCGACGUGAGGGCCCCGUGAGCCGUGCAGCCGGCUAUGGGGAAGCUUGCUCCAUCAGCAGCUGAUACUUCAGGAGGCCUUGGAAACGUUACAUCUAUCUUAGCCACUGCAUAUUCUGCCAAACCACCUCCUGUCUGUUUCCAUCAAGAUUCAUGACCACAAUCAAAGAAAAUCCAUACAAAAGAUGCAAGAUAGAGCAAGAAACACCUCCAUCGAUCUAGAUCGAUGUAAAUCUUUAGUAAAUCCGCUAUUCUCACGAAAAGAAAUUUGCAGUGCCGGUCGACAUAUGGCCAAUUAUUUACAACCAUAAUCCAGCACAGAGCUAAACUCUGUCUCCAACAAUUACACCCAACUCGUUAAGUUUUUUAGGUGCAUUGCAGAGUCUUUUGGAAAAUCAAGCACCGCAAACAAUCAAAGGAUCUGCUACUGAGUAUAUAUUACUCCCUCCGUCCACUAAUUCAAGGCCUUCUUUUCUUUUUGGUCCGUCCACCAACUCAAAGCCUAUCUAUUUUUAGUAAAUUUUUAUUCAUAUUUUAAUUGGUGGGUCCCAAUAAACAAUACACUUUUUCUCCACUCAACUAAUAAAUAAUACAAUUUGUGGGUCUCUUUCUCCACUCAACCAAUAAACAAUACUCCCUCCAUCCCAAUAAUGAAGUCUCCUUUGUUUUGGGCACGGGUAUUUAGGAGAGGUAAAAUUGAUGUUAAAUGAGUAGGGACCACAUAAUUAGUGCUUUAAUUAGUGUUAUUUUAUUUCUUAAUUAAAUUGACUAAUCAAGUCUCUACGCCUCUCUCUCUGUACGUGAUUUCUGCGCCGUCGUUCGCCGGCUGUUUCAGCCGCCGGCGAGUCGCCGCCCUUAUUCCUUCUUAGGUCGGCAUCACUUCCCCCUUCCUCUUCACUGUCAUUCUCUCCAUUUCUCAAAAUCGAGCCCAAAUCUCUUCUCUCUCUUCUCGCCGUUCUCUCUUGCAAAACACACACACACAGAUAUCUGGCAGAACACACACACACAGAUCUCUCGCCGUUCUUCUCGCCGUUUCUCUUCUCUCUCUUCUCGCCGUUCUCUCUUGCAAAACUCACACACACAGAUCUUUGGCAGAACACACACAUACAUAAAUGCAUCCUCCACCACAAAAAUCAAAGAUACAUAAAAUUUUCAUCCCAAAAAUCAAAGAUGCAGAGUCCGGACGGACUGUAAGAGAGGCAGCAACGGUUCCGCCUGAAUCAGCAGAGAGCUAGGGCUCAUUCCGAAAGGGGGAAACUCGCCUGUGCAUUUCGGUGAGAGAGUAAGAGGUAGAGUGAGCGACGAUCUCGACGGUCUUUCUGAGAAGAGAGCAGACGACACGAGUCGGCCACUGCUCGCCGGAAAUCGAAAGCAGUAGCGAUGAUUUUGAUGAGAGCGUUAGGGCUCAUUUCGAAAGGGAAAACAAGGGCACGAUAUGAGAAAGGAAUUGGAAUUGAGAGAAAAGAGAGAGAGAAGAGCAGAUGUGGCGGGGAAGCAGCGCCGGUGACCGGCGUGACGGCGACCUCACCGGUCUUCCAGAUGCAGCGGCUUUCUCAAAGGGGAGAGAGGAAUUGAAGAGAGAGUGAGGAGAAUGAAGGCUGCGUGAAAGAAGAAGAGGAGAGAGAGAGAGUAAAUUGUUAAUUCAACUAAUUCUAUAUUAAUUUUUGCCAAAAAGGGAAAGGAAACUUGAAUAUUGGGACGGCCCAAAAAGGAAUAGGAGACUUGAAUAUUAGGACGGAGGGAGUAUAUUUUGUGGGUCUCUUUCUCCACUAAUCUAAUAAAAAUACACUUUUUCUUAAAAUUUGUGUUUUGCCUCUUAGAUCUUGAAUUAGAGGACGGAGGGAGUAUAAUUUUUAAUUAUAUUUUCUUCAAUUUUAAUUUAUUAUGCUUUAAUAUUAUAAAAAGAUAAUUACCAAGAAUUCACACAUCCAAUUAGGGUUUAUAAUUAUUUUUUAUAUUUAUUUGAAUUAACAAUUAAUUAUUUGGGUUCAUUAAUUCAAAGUUAGGGUAUAUAAUUUUUUAAAAUUUCAAUUUUGAUAAAUAUUAAUUAGAGUUCAUAAUAUAAUAAUAUUUUUUAUUUUUAUAAAAAAUAAUUCUAAAAUAAAUAAAUUAAGAGUGAUACACGGUGGUACACACAAAAUAGUGGGACAAAAGAUCCCAUCUGCCAGCACAUACGUCGGUCAAUAUUCAAUAAUGAGCUUUUCGAAAUGGAAAAACGUGUAUUAGAGUGUCUAGAAAAUCAAGUUGUGGAAUAGCUUGUAGUUUGGGUUGGAAAAUGAAUUUAAUGUAAUGGGGCUGUAAUAGCUAGUCACUACCCGAGUAGACUUCUAAGUCCAAGUCAAUUCAAUUAUUAAUAUACUCCACCUAAGUAUAAGAAUAUGGAGUAUGAAAGAAGAAGGAAUCAUAUCCUCACAAAUAAUAAAAAUGAUGGGUUUUGGGAUAAGUAGUCGCAUUUUGAUCAUGGCCAUAGUGUUGAUGAAAGCAGCAGAAGCAAGCAUGAGCAGAGAGAUGCAGGCAUUGAUGAAAUUUGGGUGGCCUCACAACUCCACAACUCAUCACUGCAAUUUGACUGGCAUUACUUGUGAUGAUGCUGCUCAUGUUGCGGCGAUGAGCCUCCAAGUUUGCUCUUAUCCUACUACUCUUCUUAGUUUAAACCAUUUUGAUGUGUUUGCUUUUCCACAUCUCACUAGAAUUCAUCUCACCUCAUGUUGCCUCAAUGGAACCAUCCCACCACAUAUAGGUUACCUCUCCAAACUAACUUAUCUCAAUUUGUCUCACAAUCCUCUAUAUGGUGAAUUGCCUGUGUCACUUGCAAAUCUCACUGAAUUGCAGAUACUUGACAUUUCUGAUAUUAUGGUCAUAUGUCUUAUGGCAUUUAUGGUGUCAUUCCGCCUGAGAUAGGAAGCUUAUCCAAACUAACUCAUCUCGAUUUGUCAUACAAUGAACUCAACAGUGAUCUGCCUCUCUCACUUGCAAAUCUCACUAACUUACAUGUGCUUGACCUUUCUUAUAACAGCAUUGUCGGUGUCAUUCCGCCUGAGAUAGGAAACUUAUCCAAACUAACUCAUCUCGAUUUGUCAUACAAUGGACUCAACAGUGAUCUGCCUUUCUCACUUUCAAAUCUCACUGAAUUGCAGAUACUUGACAUUUUCUCAUAGUCGUCAGUUUUAGACAUAAANGAUAGGUUACCUCUCCAAACUAUCUCAUCUCAAUUUGUCACACAAUCAACUGUACAGUGAAUUGCCUCUGUCACUUGCAAAUCUCACUAACUUACAGGUGCUUGACAUUUCUUAUAACGGUUACAAUUCUGGUGUCAUUCCGCCUGAGAUCGGAAGCUUAUCCAAACUAACUCAUCUCGAUUUGUCACACAAUGGACUCAACACUGAUCUGCCUCUCUCACUUGCAAAUCUCACUAACUUACAGCUGCUCGACCUUUCUCAUAAUAGAAUUGUCGGUGCCAUUCCGCCUGAGAUAGGAAGCUUAUCCAAACUAACUCAUCUCGAUUUGUCAGUCAAUAGACUCUACGGUGAUCUGCCUCUCUCACUUUCAAAUCUCACUAACUUACAGCUGCUUGACAUUUCUGAAAACAACAUUUCCAGUGCCAUUCCGUCGGGAAUAGGUUACCUCCAGCAAUUGAUUGUUCUUGAUUUGAGCCACAACAGCAUCAGUGGCUCUCUGCCCUCAACUAUGCGCCAAUUAACAAGAUUGGAAUUGUUGAAAUUGGACGGCAAUAUGUUGGUAGGUGUUUUUGAGGCAGGAAUACAAAUGCUUCCUUCAAUUAAAACAGUAGACCUCAGUAGGAAUACAAUCGAAGGAAGGAUACCUUUUGAGUUUGGAGAUGCUGCUAAUGCACCGUUCUUGAAUAUCGAUCUGUCUCAUAACCAUCUUUGUGGUAGAGUUCCCGAAUCUCUUUCGCAUUUGGAUGGAAUCGAUCUGUCCUACAAUCGUUUAGAAGGUCGAAUUCCACUAGACAUCUGGCGUAAAUUUCCAGAGGAAUCGUUCUUCGGAAAUUCAGAGUUACGUCAUUAUCCAAAUGAAGCCAAACAUCCUCGAAAUGCUGUUAUUGCUGUGGUGAUACUAUUUGGAUGUGUGUUUUUGUUUUCAUCAGGUUUGAUUCUAACCUUUUACUUAAGAAGGAAAGCAGCCUCUGCAGUCACACCUCAUGAUGACCAGAGACAUGGAGACAUAUUCAAGAUAUGGAACUUCGAUGGAAACAUCGCCCAUCAACACAUCAUCCAAGCAACAGCAGACUUCGAUUUCGGGUACUGCAUCGGAACUGGAGCUUACGGGAGCGUCUACAGAGC
This 5392-nucleotide long non-coding RNA is filed under the name Salvia miltiorrhiza (redroot sage). Its description in RNAcentral is "long non-coding RNA (SMIL_LNC002109)". Lineage: Eukaryota; Viridiplantae; Streptophyta; Magnoliopsida; Lamiales; Lamiaceae. The record is from RNAcentral.